GGGAGACUCAGGGCGGAGUUAAGAAAGGCCUGAAACUGCCUGAAGAUGUUUGGUAACAACCCAUGCACAGAUGUGGAGAACAAGCCAAGUUUGUUGAAGCCAGAGACUGAGGCUCAGUGUCCCAGCAAAGACUGGAAGAUCAAGGCACCUCUGUAACAAAGGACCUGGGGAGACUGGCGUGGUGAUGGGUCUAGGAAAACUGCUGGGCCUCAAGUCCUGUUUUCUCAGAAUACACAGGCUAAAUCCCUCGGAGGACUUGAGGAGCAGCCGUGCAGAGAUGUUCUGGCAGAAAUCCUUGGCCUUUGUGCUUGACUCCACCUCAAAAGCCUAGUGGGGAG
Molecule: long non-coding RNA, 338 nt
Organism: Suncus etruscus (white-toothed pygmy shrew)
Lineage: Eukaryota; Metazoa; Chordata; Mammalia; Eulipotyphla; Soricidae
Exons: 3
Source: RefSeq, a predicted model, not a curated record